RNAcentral lists this ribosomal RNA (394 nucleotides) under uncultured bacterium. Its description in RNAcentral is "bacterial SSU rRNA". It matches the Rfam family "Bacterial small subunit ribosomal RNA", at positions 362 to 774 of the family's 1533-position model. The record is from RNAcentral.
UAUUGCACAAUGGGCGAAAGCCUGAUGCAGCAACGCCGCGUGAGCGAUGAAGGCUUUCGGGUCGUAAAGCUCUGUCCUCAAGGAAGAUAAUGACGGUACUUGAGGGGGAAGCUCCGGCUAACUACGUGCCAGCAGCCGCGGUAAUACGUAGGGGGCUAGCGUUAUCCGGAAUUAAUGGGCGUAAAGGGAGCGUAGGUGGUUUCUUAAGUCAGAGGUGAAAGGCUACGGCUCAACCGUAGUAAGCCUUUGAAACUGGGAAACUUGAGUGCAGGAGAGGAGAGUGGAAUUCCUAGUGUAGCGGUGAAAUGCGUAGAGAUUAGGAGGAACACCAGUUGCGAAGGCGGCUCUCUGGACUGUAACUGACACUGAGGCACGAAAGUGUGGGUAUCAAACA